This 395-nucleotide ribosomal RNA is filed under the name uncultured bacterium. RNAcentral describes it as "bacterial SSU rRNA". It matches the Rfam family "Bacterial small subunit ribosomal RNA", at positions 505 to 898 of the family's 1533-position model. The record is from RNAcentral.
GUGCCAGCAGCCGCGGUAAGACGAACCGUACGAACGUUAUUCGGAAUCACUGGGCUUAAAGGGUGCGUAGGCGGUCCGAUAAGUUGGGUGUGAAAUACCUCGGCUCAACCGAGGAAUUGCGCUCAAUACUGUCGGACUUGAGGGAGACAGAGGUGAGCGGAACUUAGGGUGGAGCGGUGAAAUGCGUUGAUAUCCUAAGGAACACCGGUAGCGAAAGCGGCUCACUGGGUCUUUUCUGACGCUGAUGCACGAAAGCUAGGGGAGCGAAGAGGAUUAGAUACCCUCGUAGUCCUAGCUGUAAACGAUGAGCACUUGGUUGGAGGGUCCUCCAUAGCCCUCCAGCCGGAGCGAAAGUGUUAAGUGCUCCGCCUGGGGAGUAUGGUCGCAAGGCUGAA